AUUGGGUAAAUUCCUUAAGAUGUCAAAACAUCAAGUCCCGCAGGGUGCGAGGUGGUAGUCCAAUUGACUGUUGUUUACGCUCGUUUCCUUCCGAGCGACCAUUGCUGCCAUUGAUUCAUAGCGCACGUUGCUCCGAACUGCUGUCCCGAAUUUGGAGUGAAGUAAACGAAGUGAUUCCAAGCCAACUGAGCUUCCAAAAUGUCCGCAGACGAUGACUUCAUAUCAACAUUCGAUAAAAUCAAAUGCAAGCAUGAUGAGGCAUUCCACUUGGUUGACGAUGCCAUCAAGCAAGAGGAGGAAGAUCAUCCUCAUCACGCCCUAAACCUCUACAAAAUGGCUGUCGAGGCAAUUGACGAGACGCUUGCAAUUCCCGUAAAGGUACCUGAGAACAUGGAAUUGGUGCGAUCUGAGUGGGACAAUGCAUGCCGUAUGAUCCAUAAAAUUAAACGCGCCCGAGCAGAACUCGUUCAGAGGAUCGGGGUUUUAAGCGAAAAACAAAACGCGGCUGGGAACGCCACUUCAGUCACAAGCUCGAACGCAAGCGCUACAAAUGGGACUGACACACAGCAAAGCAGACCUCGAACUUACUCUGAGCUAGCCCAGGCGUUGCGAGACAUGAAAUGCACUGGCGAAGGAAUUGAGUCAUUAGAAUUGUUGUUCUCGUGUGAGGGCGUUAAGCUCUACUACAUAAAGCCAAAUGGACUCGUUACAACUGCUCUGGAAGACUCCGUCCUACGAAUCGUACGCAUGGAAAAAGACGAGAAGAAACUUCUGAGUGCAACGUUUUUCAUACAAAUUAUCAAAACCUCUGAAGCCAUCCGCAUACAAAACGUUGAAAACAUUCCCUCUCCCGUCACUCAAGAAUCUGGAGCCGCGUCUACAGAGACUUCUGUAUCCUUACCAAAUGAGAGCAACGCUCAAAGUACAGAGAUGCGCAAACUGAAGUCGGACAACUCAUGGAUAUACCCACUCAUUCCGGGCGUAUCUCCAUGUUUCCGCACCGAAUUCGGUGCUUUCAUUCUCCCUGAUCUUGAAGCAACUGAAACCGGAUCCUCAUUUGGCAUAGUGGUCCCAAAGGAUUCCGGUGCUGAUGAAAUCGUCUUAGAAAUUCUUGAACAAAUACUGCACGGGGUCGUCAUCCAGUCAGCCGAAGCCCCUUCCCCCGCCGACCUCAGCACUCAGGUGUCAUCUAAAAUCGUGCGAGGUGCCUGCUUUGUUUCACAGAAUUUGGUUAAAGGCGCUGAGAAAGCAGGCCAAUUGAUGUCAUCCUCCACUCCUUAUUUGAUAUCGAAAAUUCGACCAGCUACCCAGGAUUCUCCAGUCUCCCCAAAUGUUCAAAAUUCCGUGGUGAUUGCAAAGAAUGUCAGCAGCACGGCCGUUGGAAUAACGGGGUUCAUUGUAGAAAAGGUGGGCUCAGCGACUAUGGCACUAGGUCGGUUCCUAGCGCCACACAUUCAGACUCACGGCUCGACUCUACUAUCAAAAGGCUUCGGAAUGGACGAGGCAACGGCUCAACAGAAGCCUCCUCCUCUUGUUUGCCGACUUGGCAUUUCAGAUGUCCGACGUUCUUACAAUCGCCGCGGGAGCCGUUGAAGGAUUUGGAACUAUUUACGCUGGCCUCGAACAAUCGGCUUCGAUUCUAGGAAAAAAUUUAAGUGAAAACUCAGUAAAAAUUAUUGAACACAAGUAUGGCUCCUCAGCAGGUUCUUUGGCUUCCGAAACCUUCGACACGGUAGGAAAUGUAAUCAACUUAACACAAAACGUGAACAGCAUCACGCCUAAAGGGAUAGCAAAACGAACAGCGAAAAAUGCCGGCCGAGCGAUUG
This 1826-nucleotide unclassified non-coding RNA is filed under the name Hermetia illucens (black soldier fly). RNAcentral's name for it is "protein spartin, transcript variant X6". The record is from RNAcentral. Lineage: Eukaryota; Metazoa; Arthropoda; Insecta; Diptera; Stratiomyidae.